GGGGGUGGGCGGCGUCUACCAUGCAGUCGAACGAUGAUGCCUAGCUUGCUAGGUGGAUUAGUGGCGAACGGGUGAGUAACACGUGAGUAACCUGCCCCUGACUCUGGGAUAAGCCUGAGAAAUUGGGUCUAAUACUGGAUAUGAGCAUCUAUCGCAUGGUGGGUGUUGGAAAGAUUUUUUGGUUAGGGAUGGACUCGCGGCCUAUCAGCUUGUUGGUGAGGUAGUGGCUCACCAAGGCGACGACGGGUAGCCGGCCUGAGAGGGUGACCGGCCACACUGGGACUGAGACACGGCCCAGACUCCUACGGGAGGCAGCAGUGGGGAAUAUUGCACAAUGGGCGAAAGCCUGAUGCAGCGACGCCGCGUGAGGGAUGACGGCCUUCGGGUUGUAAACCUCUUUCAGUAGGGAAGAAGCGAAAGUGACGGUACCUGCAGAAGAAGCGCCGGCUAACUACGUGCCAGCAGCCGCGGUAAUACGUAGGGCGCAAGCGUUAUCCGGAAUUAUUGGGCGUAAAGAGCUCGUAGGCGGUUUGUCGCGUCUGCCGUGAAAGUCCGGGGCUUAACUCCGGAUCUGCGGUGGGUACGGGCAGGCUAGAGUGCAGUAGGGGAGACUGGAAUUCCUGGUGUAGCGGUGAAAUGCGCAGAUAUCAGGAGGAACACCGAUGGCGAAGGCAGGUCUCUGGGCUGUAACUGACGCUGAGGAGCGAAAGCAUGGGUAGCGAACAGGAUUAGAUACCCUGGUAGUCCAUGCCGUAAACGUUGGGCACUAGGUGUGGGGGACAUUCCACGUUUUCCGCGCC
RNAcentral lists this ribosomal RNA (800 nucleotides) under Zhihengliuella sp. JSM 2195001. RNAcentral's name for it is "bacterial SSU rRNA". It matches the Rfam family "Bacterial small subunit ribosomal RNA", at positions 31 to 847 of the family's 1533-position model. The record is from RNAcentral. Lineage: Bacteria; Bacillati; Actinomycetota; Actinomycetes; Micrococcales; Micrococcaceae.